This 479-nucleotide ribosomal RNA is filed under the name uncultured bacterium. RNAcentral describes it as "partial 16S ribosomal RNA". It matches the Rfam family "Bacterial small subunit ribosomal RNA", at positions 28 to 507 of the family's 1533-position model. The record is from RNAcentral.
GAUGAACGCUAGCGGGAGGCCUAACACAUGCAAGCCGAGCGGUAGAGUUUCUUCGGAAACUUGAGAGCGGCGCACGGGUGCGUAACACGUGUGCAACCUACCUUUAUCUGGGGGAUAGCCUUUCGAAAGGAAGAUUAAUACCCCAUAAUAUAAUGAUUGGCAUCAAUUAUUAUUGAAAACUCCGGUGGAUAGAGAUGGGCACGCGCAAGAUUAGAUAGUUGGUGAGGUAACGGCUCACCAAGUCAAUGAUCUUUAGGGGUCCUGAGAGGGAGAUCCCCCACACUGGUACUGAGACACGGACCAGACUCCUACGGGAGGCAGCAGUGAGGAAUAUUGGACAAUGGGUGAGAGCCUGAUCCAGCCAUCCCGCGUGAAGGAGGACGGCCCUAUGGAUUGUAAACUUCUUUUGUACAGGGAUAAACCUACCCUCGUGAGGGUAGCUGAAGGUACUGGACGAAUAAGCACCGGCUAACUCCGUG